UACAUGCGUGUUAUUUACCUGAGGACAUACUUACGACUUUCACUUUAGAAUUAAAAGAUUUUAGUUGAAGUUAAAGAUUCAUAAGAAGUUUCCUAGUAAAGCUAUUUUCUACAUAUUUUUUAUUCAAAUCCGUAGAAACAUUGCAGGAAAUUCUUGGAAUGUAAAUUAAAGACAUGGAGAUAUCUUUGAAAUUGUGUGAGACGAGGACAAUUUAAAAAUCAUAAUUUGCUGCCUUAUUUAAUUUGGUUACAAUAAUCUUAUCUUAAUAUACAAAAGCAUAACUACAAUUUGAUGGCAACAUAAUAACUAAUGGGAAUAUGGUCAUAUGGGAGUGAUCACUUUAGUACAUCUACAUCGUCUACCCACACACUUCGCUACAUAUGGUCCUUGGCACAAAUUUGGUGGACAAUCAGAAUCCCUGAAACAUCUAUUAAUACCUAGAAUGAAAAAUGAGAAUAAAAUAAUUUAAAUAAUAUGCGUUAAAUGUUUAUACAAAGUAACGAAUGAAUUUGUAAAGAAUAAAAAAUGGAUUACUUGCAAUAGUCGAUGGCACAAGAAAUAUGAAAGUAAAGAAAAUCAUUACAUAAAUAAACUUGACAAUUUUAGUCAUAGUUCCUCUUUGCAAUUAAGAAAUAGUUUUAUCAGUUUAUAUUUGUUAUGGUUUCACCUCUCCUCACACCAAUUAAAAUAUUUUUUGACCUUUAUAUAAUUGUAAGAAAUCCUUUUUAAAAUUAGAAAAAUUAUUAAAUAAUUUCUUAAGUAUAUCAAUGUCUAGUGUUUGUCGUUUUAGCACACUUAGUAAGCCUUUUAGACUUAAAAAUAAUAAUCAUUUAUAAUAAUUAAUUAUACUUUAACUAAAUUUCCAUUAGUUUACAACCUUUUGUGAAAUGAAAGGGUAAAACACAUAAGAUAAAUAAUAUUAUAGAAAAACAUAUUUAAAAUGUAUGUUUGGAUUUAUGAAGAGUUACAUCGUUAAAAAAAUAUUAAACAAUUAAAGGUAUUUUUGAAACAUUUUUUAAAAUUUCACAGUUUUUCCACAUAAAUAACAAUUGAUAUUUUCAAAACCACUCCCCCAAUAUAUAAUACUCACAAAGAUACUAUAAUGUAUAAAAUGUUCAAGCAAUGAAACAGUUACAUUCGACGAAACAUAUGAAUGACAAUGUAUUGAUUAUGGAGAAAUUAGCUGGGCCAGAUCCAUCUAGGAAUCCUACAUUCCACCAACAAAAUCUUAACUUCUAAUCCAAUGUGAUUUACGACUACAGAAACACUUCCUUCAUUUUUACUUAUUUUAUAUCAUACAACCUAUAUCAGAUAGUGUCAUUCAUUUCUGUUAUGGUUGAAGAUCUCAACAUAAUAUUGACAAAAAUUCUUUCACUUCUCAUAAGCUAUCUCUAACUAACUUCUCAUAGAGGCUUGAUCUAUCUCUUAUUUCCUUAUCCAUGUUUGGACGGAUCAUGGAAUAAUCAUCCUCAAUAUUUUGCUUUAUAUGAUUAGGAAGAAAAUUGAAACCUGAAUUGAUUUUGAGAUGGUCGCUUCUUAUAAGAUUUCUUCUUAAAAGAGUGCGAUAGUUGUGUACAUGGCCUCUUUAAUGAUAUUUGAGAAUUUGAGUGUGCUUGAUCAACAUGUUUGUGAUAUCAAGAGUUCUAAUAAACAUCAUAUUCCAUCGGUUUCUUCCUAUUCUUCACUUCUCCUUUUUGUUUUUUGUUUUUGAGGUGGUGGGUACAUUGAAGUUGUAGUGGGGUUAGAAAUUUCACACAUCCUACUUUUUAAUUUUAUAUUUCAUGCAACAUCCAAUGACCUUAACCUUCUCCACAAUACAUAUAUUGCACAAGUCAUAUAUAGGGGUGUGCAAAAAAAUCGGUUAUACAUAACCAAAUUGGUAUCCAAAUUGUUCCACUUUAAAAAAAACCAAACCAAAUGCUAAAAUAAAAAUUUGAGUAUCCAUUUUAUUAUCAAAAUAUAAACUGUUAACCAAUAUAAUUAUUAUUUGAUAUUUUUUCGAAAAAAUUAUAUUUGAUAUUUUUUUUCAAAUAAAAUUAUUAUUUUUUUCUAAAUAAAAAAAAUAUCUUUUAUCAAAAAUAUUUUGUAUUUUUUAUUAAAAAUAUUUUGUAUUUUUUUUAGUAAAAAUAAUGUUUUUUUUAAAAAUAAUUAGAUUUUUAAAUUUUUUUUUAUUUUCAGAAUAUAAUUUUAUUAUUUUCAAUAUUUUUUGAUUUUUUUUUUCUUUUUUCUAAAUAUUUGUUAUCUUUUUUUAUGUUUUUUAAAUUUUAAAAGAAAAAAUAUUUUAAAACGUCAUAAAAUUUGUUUAUGAACAAUUAUGAGAGAAUUAUGAGAGAUUUUAGAAGUUUGAAUAAUUUUUUUUAUGAAUUAUUUAUUUUAUGAAUAAUUAUGAUUUAUAGAGAUAUGAUUCAUAAUUAUUUUAUUUUAUGACCGCUUUUAUGUAACACAUCAUACUUUGGGAUUGUUUUUAAUCGAUAUAUUAUUUGUGGUGAUUAUAAAAGUCAAAUUUAAAGUAAUUUUUUAAAAUAAAUAUUUUUUUUAUAUAAAAUAGUUUUAUAACUAGUGAAAAUAAAAAAGGAUAAAAUUAUUUUUGAUAUAAAAUUGUUUUUUUAAAAAUAUAGUUUUAAAACUGUUUUUUUUAUAAAAAUGGUUUUGAAAUUGAUUUUUUUAAGAAAAUAAAAAAUUGGUUUUAAAGAAAUUGAUUUAAAAUUAUUAUUUUGUUAAAAACCGGUUUAAAAUCGAACCGAUCCACUUAUAAACUAGUUUUAAGAAAAUAAAUUGGUUUUAUGAAAAUGGUUUUAAGAUCCAAACCGAACCAUAUAUAUGGUUCAAUUUGGUUUGGUUUAUGAUCCAUGCACACCCCUAGUCAUAUCCACAUUUGCAUCUACCUCUUGUUGACCUUCCAUGCUUGGUUUCCUCUAAUGGAUAUGGAUGUUGUCUACUGGUAUCUGAUCACCAUCCAUUAAGUUUCUUCCUAACUCACAAGUUCGUAUCUGAUCACCACCCAUUAAGUAUCUUCUUAACUCACAAGUACAUGAUAAUCCUAUGAUGUUCUAAGAUACACCCAUAUAUUUGGGUGUUGGUUGCCGCAUAACCUUAAAAACACUUCAACAAUGCGUCUCAAAGGAGCUCCUGGUACCAAUCCAUGCAAAUUUCCAUAAAAUGGACUAGUAUGUUCAUGCUCAACUUCAAAAAUACUCUUUUUAAAUGAAGCUCUAAUAUUUCCUAAUUGUAAGUUUAAGUUGUUAUUUAUAACCUACCAACAUUUGCACAAGUCACCUAUAUUAAUGUCUGAUAUCUGCUUUAAUUUCUAAUUAGCAGACUUUUAGAUUUCUUCAAUUUUCUUUCGAUAUCCCCUGCUUUCUCUAUCCAUUUUGCUUCAUCGUAAGUCAUUUUAGUGUUGAUUAUUUCCCUAUAGGUGUAUAAAAGAGUGUUAUAACAUAGAAAAAGACACCAAGAUUUACCUUGUUUUAGUUUUAAGAAAUUUACAUUUUCUUGCAAUUUCAUUUUGUAAAGAUCAAUUUGUUGUUGAUUUUACAAGUCUCUUAUGACCAUUUUUUUACUUUGUUUUAACUCAAUUCAGAUUUUGGCUUCAUCUUUUAAGAUUCGUUUCCAUGUAUAUGUCUUUGAUUAUUGUUAUGCACUCUGUCAUACCCCAAAAUUUGCCCGUUGGUAUUACAAAGCAUUUUCCAAGACCCUCUGACUUGUUCUGCAAGGCACCGGUAUCAAAUGGACAAAAGCCCACUCACAUAAGGCCCAAUCCACAGGCGGCAUGGUAGUCGAGUAUACGGCUACUCCCUUUCUCAGGUGCUACCUUCGGACAGGUACAUUCCUGAAUGGUAGUCUGGUAUACGACUACUCCCUUUUCAGCAGCUUCAGCCUAACGUACGGCUCAUUCUGUAACUCAGAUACGAUCUAGCGUACGAUCCAUUCUGAUCUUUCAUCCCCAGCAAAGUCAUCUGCCUAACGAACAGCUCCCUCUGGUAUUCAGACACGGUCUAACGUAUGGUCCAUUCUGAUCCCUUAUCCCCAGCAGUAUAGCAUACUCAGACUCCCCAACGAAGUCAACAGCAUAAUGGAGGGUUCACUAUACGGUCUGAUGUAUGGCCCGGUGUGACACCCAUGUCUCUAGAUAUCGUCUAACGUACGACACAAUCUGGAAAUCUCUUCAGCAAGUUUCUUGGAUGGCAUCUUUAAGCCCAUCUCCGUCAAGACAAAUGAACAAGCGCAAAUUUUUGGGGCACUCUAGUGUUCAAUAAUCUUCCACCUCCAGACCACGAAUGGCGCACAUACCAUUCUACUCUCUCGGUUCAAGAAUAUUGAACAGGGGCAGCUGUCAUACCCCAAAAUUUGCCCGUUGGUAUUACAAAGCAUUUUCCAAGACCCUCUGACUUGUUCUGCAAGGCACCGGUAUCAAAGCCCAGCUCACAACAGGCCCAACCAAAAGGGGCCCAAAAUAGCUUGCUCGCUAGGCGAGCAAUCUCUUCGCCUAGCGAUGCUUCGUCAUGACACUCGCCCAGCGAAGCGUCAGAUCCAGGAAAAGGCCCAGACCUAGUUUGCUCGCUAGGCGAGCAAUUCCUUCGCCUAGCGAAGCUUGCGAAGUUUGAGAUUUUUGGACCUCAUUUUAAGCCCAUUAGGUCACCACUACCUCUACUAUAAAUACCUGCUCCUCUGCCACGAAAAAGGACGGACAGAGACGGACGAAGACGGACGGAAACACGCUUCCAGAGGGAGAAACGCAGAAACCCUGCUGAUCCAAAGAAUUCAGAAGGCGGAAACCCUAAAGGCCGCUUACUCGCUCCGAAGCUACCGCCGUCCAACUCAAUCCGGCUCGCCAAUUCAAGGUUACGACUUGAUUUGCAAACAGGUUAGCUUCACUAUUAUUCGCUUUAGCUUCUUAACUGGCAUAUGAUUAAUUGGCAUAUGAUUAUCAUUUGGUGUCCGUAUUUUGCAUGUGGUAUCAUUUUAGUAUCUUAAUUUGCAUGUGAUAUUAUUUUGUAUUUUCACUUGGCAUAUGGUACCCCUUCAUGUUCUUAAUUUGUGGAUUAUAAUUGAAUUCAUAAACAUUUUGAAGUCUUGCAUGUUAAAUGUGUUUGCCUAUUGUGAAACUGAGCCAUAUAAUUGUAUGUUGGAUGCCAUAAGCCAUGUUGCAGGUUGAGGUCAUAAUGUUCUCAAAUUUCAAACCCGUGGCCGCUCGCUAGCUCAUCGCUAGGCGAGCCCGCAGCGAGCCUUCGCUGAGCCUUCGCUAGGCGUUACAUUCCAUUUCUUCCAAGCAUUCGGAAUGUCAUUCUGGGACAAACAUCAGUUUAGCAGUUGUUAUAUUACUCCGAGACAGUCUGGGAGUGGCGUACUCAGAGACAGAUCCGCACCUGGAACCUGAUUACGCAGGCAUUACUUUUCAGUUCUACACUAUGGCAGGUUGAGUAGUAGACUCAUUUGAUAGCGAAUGUUAGACUUUGGAAUUAGCGCCUAUCGCUACAGCUACUGUAAUAUGAAUACUGACUACUGGCGCCAGCAGUAGAAUGAAAGCAUUAAAUUAGACAUGCUCCGACACAUUUUAGAUGCGAUAGGUAUGGAUUUUUGGACUUGCGUUAUGACUCAUACACUCCCUGCAUUAGUUCAUUCUUGUGUGCACUUUGCCCACGCAAUGGGAAGAUGUUUCGCACCAGGUGGUAAAUUUUAUGGGAGCGCAUGUUCUGAUGGCCCACAUUACGCACCUGUCUCAUGCUGACUCGGGCACAAGUAUUCUUCAUCGGGUGUUUGGUGAUUUAUUUCUCCAAUGAACCGUCUUAUAAGUAGACGGGUGAAUCGAGUGUUUAGAAAGCGGCAUUUUUCGUUAAGCUACGUGAAAGCCUUUAGGACGGCUACCACUUUGUCUCACAUCGCAACGAUAGAAGUCAUAUUGUGUGUGUGAUAAGAUGUAAUCACUAGGUUUGAUGGAUUGUCGGUCAAAGCCAGAGGGUGAAUAUUGUGAUAGAUAUCGGACCAUGAAUCAAAUCUUUGCGUUAGGUUUGGUUAUCGCUUUAGAUUUAGGCGAUUGUGUUUCUAGCGUGAUCCAUAAUUCAUCAAAACAUCAACACCACAUCAGCAACACGACAAAGUGCAUAAUGAAGUGCAAUGUUUGCAAUCCAAGUAAUACAUAUAUAGACACUUUAGACAAUCAAGAGCACUGAGCAUAGGGUAUGGAGUUACUAAAAGGCAAUAUUUAUUUAGCCCGGGGUCAUGUAGAAUCUCCGAUGAAUUAUUCCUAUAUACGACAUAAUGCUCUCUCUAUCGCUUUUAUAGAGUGUUGCAUGCCUAGUGUAGUGCAUAUGUCCAACCUCCAAUAGCCCCGGACUAUGAUACAACGAUUGUUGGUCCCGAGUUUGAGAAAUAGAAGUUUAGGCAGGUGAUAUUUAUGGACAACUUCGACCUGGAGACCUAUUUGUACUUCAAUUGUUAGAGUACGUGGCCGGAGACCUCCUUUCAAGUAGUCGAGAUCAUAAGACUUGGUGUCUUAACCUACUGCUGUUCUAAAUUCAUGAAUCAACACUGUUAACGAUCUGUUGUGGGAGGAUUGAUGACAAUUUCUCCACAGACUCAUACUAAUGGGAUGAGGUUGCUGAUAUUUAGCAUCUCCCUCUCCUGAUCUCACAGGUUUCUACCACCCGAGAAGAACUAUAUUUAUUCUAGGGACAUGCGGAGAUAGUCUCACUCGUCUCUUGACGGUUUACAGGUUUGUGUCCCUCGUCACAAAUUUUGCGGAUCUUGGUAAUAGUCUUUCCGUAUGAUCCCGAAACGCAGUUUGCUUUCGCUAUGUUCUGUAGUUAUGGAAAUAGAGUUAGAUUUAGAUACAUUACUGGGUUCGACUCGAUGAUCGUACAAAUUCUCUCUGGGAAAAGAUAUUUCCUACUCAGUGGAAAACCUAUUGAAGAAAUUAUUUGUGAUUGCUAGGUCCAGAAGUCAGUGAAGAUUACCUCAGUGACGGCAGUCAGGAUGCCUUCUUGAUUGGUAGAGCUAGAGUGCCUGUAAAGAUUUUAAGCCAUUGACGUUUUUGUGCGCCCAAAUACACCCCCGAGGGUAUUGACAAUAAUGCUCACACUAUCUUAUUACUGCACCUGCUCAUAAUAUUGUACUUCCUUCUAAGUUGUCACACGCACCACAAGUCUGGUCGUUCGGUCUUACUGUUGGCAGGUGAUGUUUACUCUACCGGUUGUUCACACCACCGCCAGAGGGUGUGCUAUAUUAUUUGUCUACUAAUCCUAAUGACGUUGACCUCUUGUAGUGUGGAUGGUCUCAUAGUAAAAUUACUCACGAGUGGAAGGAUUUCUCUCAGGAAAUCUCACCUCCCGCCCCUAGUAGCAAGCGAUUUGCUGGAGUCUACGAUGAACUAUCGGCGGUGAUCGGCAGUUAAUUUUCCAUGAUCUCAAGAAGAGUAAAAAUGAGACAGCCCUACUUUCGAGGUAAUUCUCAUAUUACCGAACAUUGACCUGAUGAGCGAAUAGAUCAGAAAAUCCUUGAUUAGGAGAGAAAUGCUGAAAAAUCAAUCGUAAGAGUGACUUUGGAGUUGUUGUUAACGCAGGGUAAACAGCUGGGGCGGGGUUUCUUCGCUCUCUCUAAAUUUCGCACUGCUUCAUUCCCGUGUGUUUUGCUUAUUAUUUUCUCUGAAUCUCAUGGCCAAUCGCGAGUGAUAAUUAAAUUCCUUCGAGGAGGACGUCUAGUUUGUUACCUCAGCGAUGUUUGAUCAAUGUCUUCGCGUCACGAUCAAGUUUGACAAUUACGCUUGGUCUAACUGGUGAGGGCUGUUGUAUUAUUCACACGCGUCAUAGGGUAUUUUACAUGUUUCAAGAUUGCUGACGACUUGUUAAACCAGACUAGCGACAGAAAAGACACUCACUAAAUAACAAGUGCUACUCUUGGCUUAUUAUCUCCCAUUGAAGUGUAGUGAGGUAUUACCUAGUUGUAUCAGUUGGGUAUUGAUUUGAUUAACUGAUCAAAUGGCUCUUCUUUGAAUGUGCUACCGAAAGCUGUGCAAUCGUAUAAUCCGUAUCAUAUUUUCUCGACCCUGCUCAAAGGCGAUGCUAGAAUUCUAGAAAUCACCUCAUUGUGUGACAGUAUUGUUUCAUGUGAGUGCGUGCUAUACGCUGGCUCGCGAAAGACGUGUUUGUGACAGAUGGAUGAAUGUUUGCAUAUGUGGCUCAUCCUUAAUCCACUAGUAUGAGGUUGUAAUUCACAUGUGGAUUUCAUGGAACACUACCUUUUAUUCACACGCUUGAUGAGUGGAGAAUAAUUUGCCAUCCUGGUCCGGGACGUCUGCCCUUCAGGAUACACAUGGGCAGGUAGUGUUGUUAGUCUCGUUGCUUCACCACCAUCUAAAUAGGAUUGUGAUGUGUUAUUCCACACUCACGACGGAGGUGCGAAGAGAUUGUCACUGUGUUGUGAUGACGCAGUAAGAGUAUACUGUCACAAGUAGUGUGCCAAUACUUUACACAGGAUUACGAUGAUGAUGGAUGGAGAUACGAACUCUUUUUCCUCUUCGACGCAUCGGUAUCUAGUGCUCAAUUUUGAAGUAGUUCCUCCGACCAUUUGUCCUUAGCCAACUUCCCCGCUUGUUGCGCAUCCAAAGUGUGAUUUAUCGCUAGCUCCUCUAACGCCGGUGCUUAAAAUGGGAAUUUGUCCUGAACGAUGUACGCAUCAGAGGGUAGAGUUGAGUUAGAUUGAGUUGAGUCGUUUUCCUCACCCUGGUUGGGGUCACUGAAUCUUGAUGUCCGUAAAGUGCGCUGAUAAAUUUAGGCCUGGGGUUUAGCUCUGAAAGAAUGGAGUACAACGAUCAGCUCUUGGCACAUUAAUUCGUCGGUGGUAUGAUAGGAAAUGGUGAUAAUAAUAGCCGAUUUUGCGACUCUGCGCAUUAAAGGUUGGAGAUUUUCCAAGAUAUGGUGUAGUGUGAUCGCGACUCAAUAAUUUCGGGAAGGUGAGAUCGGGAUAUUCCGGGAUCCUUUUUUUUUCUAGUCACGUGUAGUUUAGGGUUGUUAUUGUUAUCUAUUAGAGGUGAUUUCAUCAACAUUUUUGGUUGCUAAACUUAUUUAAUACCUGAACAAUGAAUUCUCUGUAUAGUUACAGGUUCGCGUGUCUAUACCGCCGUUCCAAUCACGCCUAAUGGGGCUUAUAGGGAGUUUUUUCUGGCCUCAAUGAUCGUCUCAUAGCAUAUGCACAUUCGCUCAUUUACACUAUCGAUUAUAAUUGGAACUUUUUUGCACUCCUCUGAUGCUCUACAGGGUAGGGUCGCUUCUUCUCAUAGGUCGUUUCCUGUCAGCUCCGUCUUCAUGGGCCAACACUCAAAGCUAUGUUUUCUCUUCCAUACACCCAACUUUUUUUAUUCCCCCUAGAGUCUGCUGGACAAAGCACGUAACAAAUUGGCAGAUCCAUUAUCCACUCCUGGGGUUGGAAUAUAAUUUAUAGCUCUUCACUUUUAAGUUCUUAAAUUAAUUGGUUUUUAUAGAGCUAAUCUUCACGAUCUAGCCAAGCCACUGGUUAUUGCGCAGUUGUAAUGCAUUAAAGUCAUGGAGUGUUCGUGUCUCUGUGUGAUUGGAGGCCUUGCACUAUAGAUACUGUUCUCGCCGCAGAGGGAAGAUAAGUAUAUAAAGCUGCUACUCAUGGAAUCAGAAUGAUAAUUGUGGUAAAUCAUUCGAGGGUUCAUUCUUAGGAGGAUACGACAAGAAGAAGCAAAAUAGGAGCAAGAAGUUGUUUUUAGAGUGUAUAUAGAUUUAGUUUGAUAUAUAAGGUACACGAAUGUCAUUCUUCAGAUGUUCCUGACUAUGUAGAGAGAUUUUAUUUGAUUGCGAGAUCCUGCAUAUUGACAUUUAGACCUAGGACUGACGAAUCACUUCGAUAUUAGUUAAGUGCAAAUUCUUGUAUAUGUCAGAUGGAGGAGAGACAUUGCUGCACGUUAAGAAAAGGCUCGUCGCAUGCAGAUCCUGAAAUGUUUAUAGAGACAACUCAACACGUCGAUGGAUUUCACUCGAGUAAAGUAAUAUCGACUAUGCUGUUCUUUCUAGCUAUCAUAUUUGUUGCAUUAUCGGGAUUUCUUUUUAGGAUUUACAGCAACUCGCGCGCUCUUGUUCUGGCAACUCCUCGUCGGUUACUAGUGCCCAGAAGAAAUGAAUAAUGAGGUAAUGUUUGUCGCGACGAUUGGUGGAUUGAUAGAUUAUGCAGAGAAUCUUGAAUAAAGCAAUCCAAGAGAUGACUAAAUUCCCACUUUCUGAAUGAGAGUAUAGUUGAUUCUGGAUAGAUAAACACUCGCUUGCUAUUUUCUCUUUACGUAUUAGUUUCAAACCACUCAUGACAAUGGAUCGGACUUGCUCAGGUUAUAAAAAAUAUGUAUAUGGAUCAAUGGCCCCUGUAGAGAAUAUGGAUGAAACGAUACCCAAGCGUGUUGUGACUUUUCGUAAGGGGGCAAGCUUUCUGUUGUACUAGUCAGUAAUGAUCCAGAUUGCCGCAGUUUAAAGAAUGCACGGCGCACGCAAAAUCACCACUAGCGUGCUAUGGCAUUGGGUUCUCAUGAAUGCUUCAUUCAUAAUGAAGAAGUGACGAUGUUCAAUCCAAUGUAGGAUCACGCACGGUAGACGGUUGGAUGAAAGAAUGAUGCGCUAGAAGACCUCCCGCCAUGACUCUCCAUUCCCUACCCUCCACUUUCUGGACUUCCCGACCCGAAUUCCACUCGAACACGAGUCCCUCCUCGACAGUCUAGUUUAUUGCAACGUUAGGAACAUCUCGAUCGAUAGUAUGACUACCAAAAAAUCUGUCUUAGUCGCAUGAGAAGAUGUUGAAAGAACUACAAAUGUGUGAUCUGUCCGAUUUUGCAAUCAGAAGUAUAUUCUUAUACACAAUUCGACGACUGGAUCAUAAGACCUUUGAGUAAGAUCGGUAAAACUCUUGGGCAUAUUUUACAUGAGUCAGGGGUAUGAGUACUUCGGAAAUUUGAAGGUAUCAUUGUUAUCGCAACAUUAAGAUGAUUGAGCGCCGAUCUAUUCACAAUGAGGUCGCCAAAAAGACUCGUAGCAGUUGACAAUCGUCACCAAGUUUUGAUAAUAGAAGUUAGGGGAGUGUUUGCUGAUGGACGUGCUAUUGAUGGAGACUUUAAGCAAAAUGGUCAAGCAAUGGGUUUAUUCUCGCACAGUUGAACUCGUAUAAACUUGUAAACCCAUGCGGCAGAUUUACCUGCUAGGAACGAUAUCUGUAUGUAGUUAUAUUAUUGUGUAUUGCAUAGCAUGUCAAGAUAGACAUUAUAUGCAUAACAAAAGAGGAAAGAAUAUAAUGUAUCUCCAAGAACCACUCUCGCUUUACGAUUCGCCGCAGAAGUUGAAGGAAGAACCUAACACUUUCAUAUUGGAUUAGAGUAUUUUGAGCCAGAUGUUCAGAAAGAUCUAAGUUGGGGUGGUGAUAGUGAGGUCAGAAAUUUUUAUCGAGUGGCAGAGUAUGGUCCGAGCAUUAUAAAGAGCAUGCCUAUACCAAUCUUUGUUUAGAACAAAUCUAGUCCUGGGCUGAUAUAGGAUGUCAAGCUAUCUCCAAGAGGACUGCGAGUAGAAAAACUCUGUUGCGUGCUUUGGCUUGGGCUGCUCGUGAUUCAAAAAACAUGUUUGGGUAUAUGUGAUUUAGAAAAUCAGAGGUAGCCACCGCAGUGUUAACUCGAGUUUCAUUGAUCAUAAAUGUACUAGGAUGAUUCCUCCCUAUCAAUAUAUAUAUGAGAAACCUGCUCUCUGGAUACGCCAAUCACUCUUGUGAGUAUCGUGUAGAUGGAUUUCAUUAAACAGAGCUCACAAUAUCCCACGCUUGAUAAUUACACUAGCUGCAAGAAAAGGCAAUCAAACAAGGGAAGCGUGUUUAGCCUGAUAAUCUAUAUGUGGCACUCAGUCAAGCUCUUGAGGUGGUGAGUCGGAUAUAUAGCCAAUUCUGAAACAUUUUGAGGUAGUUCUCUUUAGAUCGCACCGACGCUCUUCAACGUUCACUUAGUAAAUGUACUCAUAAGCAUUAUGAAAGCCAGAUCACUGGACCUGAUGUAAUCAAAUGAGGGUCAACGAAUGUGUGUGAGCAACACUUGAUGGAAUACGUAUUGUGUAGUAUGCACAUUAAUGCGGUGAAAACUGGACUACUUUUUUGGUAUUUGAGUAGAGAUUAAAUUGUUAUAUCGUAUAUAUUUGCCUCGGCCGCGAUUGGAGCAAGAUCAAUUAAGUUGCUCGCCACCGACUUCAUCUGGGUUGUAGAACGAAGUGAAAACAAGUGAAAGGUGGGGCUAUGCAUAACUGAACCAGGAAAUGGACCUUAGAAAAUAAUUAAUCGUCUAUUAGAUGUGUUGUGUAUUGUUGUCACCCAUUAAAAUUCAACACGCGCGAGGUAUUAGCACCCUUUGUAGACAUAGGUAUUAAUAUCAACAUUGUGAUCUUCCUAUAGGACUCUGCUAAAUGGAAACGUCGAUUCAGAUUCACUGAGAUGUUUGUGUAUCCAAAAGUCGUGUGGAUUAGAGCUCACCUAUAUUCGCAAUAACGGUCACAAAAAUGGUAUUCGCAUAAUCGGAGUGAAUUUGUUACCUCUUUGAUAAGUAGUUAGUAUUGACUUGUUGCUCUGACGCACAGUAUACCAAGUGGGUAUUUUACAUAAGUCGGUUUCCCUAUUGUUAUUCGAUAGAGGUGUAAAGUCCUUUAGUAAAUAAUUUCCCUAUUUAAUUGGCGCAGAUGGGUAUGUGCGUGAUCCAUCAUUUAUCAGUGGGUCUGGGGAUGAUUUAGAAAAGACAUAGAAUGGUAGUAGGAUCUAUUCCCAAUAUGAUACACAUAUGUAUUUUGAUGAGGAAGCCUGUAUGAGACUAGCGAAACACGCACCUCUUUUGUUAGGUCAGAAUGUACCGCAUCAUGUAGGAGUUGUUGAUGAUUCUCUAUUUCGAGGUUUUCGGUCAUUCCUUGAUCCCAUAAUCUAAAAGUUCGGCUUGUGAGUGAUAAACAAAAUCGCGUUCACGUGCACCUAUUAAUUGAGAAGUAAAUAUAGAGCUACGUUAUCUUGGAACGCCGUCAGAUCGCGUGCGUAGAUCGUAAGUUGGGGCACGAGGCCUGAGAGAGCUUUGACGCUGCAAUCCCAGACCUCACGCAUAGAGGAAUAAACAUGAAGGUUGUGUCAUACCAUUGAAAAUUGAGUGAAGGCACACACGCUUAGUUUUGACGAGAUUUCAGUUGCAAAGUGGAAACUCGAAGGAAUCUAACUCAUAUAACUUUUCUAUGCGAAACGGGCAUAAUCUCAACUCUGCAAAGCAUGCAAGUGAAUGCAUUAGAGUGUGCAGACAAAGAAAUGGGUAAUUAGCAAAGAUUUCCGAAGCGCAUAGUUUCCUCAGAGGGCUGUCGGAAUCGCACGCCUUAUACCGAAGGGUCUUAUGCUUGAAAUUGUUCAGUAGCAUUUCCGUCAUUAUUCUCGCUGUGUCGGAGAACAUUCUCUCAUCCGCUCAAUUUCUGCAUCACUCAUCCGCUGGUUGGUGAUAUAUGUGGGAUGUGUGUGCCGAAUAGUCGAUCUACCAAUGUAGGUUCCUCAUAGAGGAUUCCCUGAGUUUGUGACUGUUUCGAUUAGGGGAUAUUCAUGUGUGAAAAACAAGGCUGAUUACAUGAGUACAUCAAAAUUCAAAUCCCUGUAUUAGUCACACUUUAUUUUACUAAUACUUGGAAUUGUAGAAAGUUAAAUUGAAUAGGUCAACCAAAGUGAAAUUUAGCGCACAGAUCUCAGAGUCAUGAAUUUCCUCAUUCAAUAAUAAAUAGUGCUGGAUUUAGUAUUUUUUCGCGAUAGUUCUCCUAUUCGCAUAGAUGGAAGAACGUUCUUGGCAUGCAUAAAGCGGAGUAUCCAGACCGGUGGUACUUUCUUCGCGCAAGGGUAUGCUACUUUACAUGAACACACGGAUUAAAGCUAUAAAUACAAUUGGAACUUCAUCAUAAGAUAAAUAUAGCACGCAAGAAUUUAGCCAAAUAAUGCAGAAUCAUCAUUAGGUAAACAUGAAAUAGGCAGCAAAAGCAAAGCAGCCCUGGCCGUCGCCUCUGCUUCGCUAGNAAAGUACCUCCCGAACCUAAGAAUUUAAAAUUAAGGUCUUUCCUGUUCUUUUCCACCUUUCCUUAAGGGAUAAAAGAAAAGUCGGUGGCGACUCUUGCUAACCGCGACAUUGCGAUUACAAAUCCAAUAAAAGUCCAGUUCACCGUAUGACACACUCUUUUAAUUUGAUUAUAACUGAGUAGUUUUCUAUGGGUUUAGGAACAUAAGGACAGUCUUGUGAUAUACCUCAUGUAGAUUGUAAAAAAAAUUGUUUCGAGAAAAGUUAUAAGGCUUUCUCCGGAUUUCUUAUUUUUAACGUAGAUAUCUUUACAAAAUUAAGGACAUUUUAUAUGCCAUUCACAUUUUAAAGAGGUGUAAAUUAGUAUUCAAACGAUACAUAUCGGACAACCGAAUUGAGUGGACCAAAGUGUCUCAAACUUAGUUGAGAAUGUCUCAUUUUUAUAGAUGCAUUUAAAGUAGGUAGUAUAUUUGUUUAGACUUAGACAACACGCUCACGAAAGUAGGUGUUUUUCAAUGUUUUUUAUUUUACUACUAAUCUAAUUCUUUUUCUCGUAAUGAAUUGGAGUCUGCAUGAGUUUCUUAGAGAUACGAAUCAUGAACCCAAAGUCCUAUUUUAAUAUUUUUGUUUCUAAAACAAAAUCAACACUUCAUAUAAAAUCAUCGAUUAUCUUAGAUAAACACUCAAGAUUUAUCGAAAGAGAAGAAAAGAUUGAAAAGCUUUAUGUAUGUUUGUGUGUGCGUUUCCUUAGUAUCUUAAGACUCACCCUUGUCCCUUUUACAAUAAAUUGGUCAAUAUAAAGCGCUUAGAGAAAAACCAAACAAACUUUCACACUUUCUCUCUUUCACAAAGUCAAAUCAUCAACUUCUUUUGAUUGAUUCAUCGGUGACUAGCAUUUUAAUUGGAACUUGAACCAUCUGACUGAUAUGGCUUGAGAUAUCUUUUUCUUAAUUAGAUGCCAUCAUAAAAAACUAGUGGAAGUUGUAGUAAAAUUCACCUUUGACAGUUGUGACCAAUAAUAUUUUUAAUUAACAUCACACUUAGUUUGACCUAAGGAGUUGACACACUACUAGAAAAUAUACAUUUGGUGACACAAUAUUACAACGACCAUUUUGCUACCGUAGUCAUAUCACAUUUUUUACUCACAUGUUUUUUAUUUUAUUUUAUUAAGAAACCUUUCAUCACGGUUCCUAAAAAUAACUGUGGUCAUAGAAUUUGGAUGAUAAGCUUCGAAUCCCAGCAUCAAUAUUUUUCUAUUUCUUCAAUAAAAAUAAGCGCGUGUCCCUUCACAUUUAUUGUUAUUUAAAAAUUGAAAGUAUAACAAGUAAGGUUAUUUCAUCCAACGGUGGUUAUAUGUUUCGUAUUUCACUAUGGUUGAAGCUUCAGCUGUUGUGAAUUUAUUUCCCACAAAAUUAAAACUUAACAAGUACUUCAGUUCGUUCAUAACACACAAGGGUGCCUUACCAAACGAGACAACGACGAUAGUGAAAUCUUUACCAUCUUCAUUCAUUUUUGGAAACAAAUAUCAUUUAUGGAAACGAAACCGUCAUCCUAUUCGAAUUACGGUACAUUACCAUUCUCUCUCUUUGACGCUUCUGAAUGUUUAUGUUCUUUGCUAGAGUUAUUUACCAUUCUCUGUCUCUCUUUGACGCUUCUGGAUUUUUAUGUUCUUCGCUAGGGUUACUGGUUUAUUCUUUUAACAGAUAAAUGAUGAUGGAUUUUGUUGCAUUUUAUGAAUCAAUGAUAUCCGCGUUGACAUUGUCAUAUAUAUUGUUCAUGUUUCCUUGUUCAUGUUUUAUUCAUAUUUUGUGAAUAUGCUUUAGGUGUUGCCAUGUUCCAUGUUCCCAUGUUCAUGUUGCAAUUUUGUGAAUAUGCUUUAGGUGUUUCCAUUUUGUUCAUGUUUCCAUGUUCAUGUUUUGUUCAGAUCAUGUGUGUAUAAUCAUAUUAGGAUGUUGUAUUUGUAGCAUUAGUGUACCACUCACAUUAGUCUUUUGAUAUAAAUUUCAGAAUUUUUUAUGGAUCGUAGUUGGAUGAAAGCUGAUAGAUUAGGUUCGGUGUAUGAGAAAAGAGUUCUUGAAUACCUUGAAUUCUCCAAAAAAAAUAUUCCCAAGAAUAAUGGUAUCUUUUAUUGUGCUUGUGUUAUCUACGAGAAUAUAAAAAAACAAUCAAAGAAAGAAAUAUUACAUCACCUAUGUUGUGAUGGAAUAUGUCAAAUUAUAAAACAUGGAUGUGGCAUAGAUAAGUAGAUUAUAAUCAAAAUGCGAUGACACAAAUGGAUGAAGUUGAUGAAGAGAUGGAAGAUCGACUAGAAGAUAUGAUCCGUGAUAUUGGAGAAUCGUCUUGUAUGAAAGGCCAUAUUUAUGAUUCUUUAUUUAGGAAAAAAAGAUGCGCCUUUAUAUAAAGGGCGAACCAGUUUUACAAGAUUGUCUGCAAUGUUAAAAUUGUUUAAUCUGAAGGCAAAAGAUAGGUGGUCGGAUAAAACUUUCACAUAAUUGCUUGAUCUGUUGAAACAAAUGCUACCAGAAGAUAAAAAUUUGUCGAAUCGUUGUUAUAAGGCAAAGAAGAUAUUGGGUCCAAUGGGUUUGGACUAUGUCAAAAUACAUGCGUGCCCUAAUGAUUUCAUAUUAUACAAGAAAGAGUAUGAAAUUUUGGAUCAAUUUCCAGUGUCAAAGGACUUUUCUACUCUUUGGCAAUUUCCAGAAUAUGGUUAUGUUAUUUUUCACAAUCAACGACUUUUCUGCAUAUGGUAAUUUGGCUGUAUAUAGUGUCAAAGGACGUAAAGCGUGUUCUAUAUGUGAAUCUAACACCUGUUUUCACCAGCUUGAGUUUGGUUAAAAGACAGUUUACCUUCGACAUCAGAAAUUUCUAAAACACAAUCAUCAUUAUCAUUGAUUUCAUAAGGCUUUUAACGAAGAGCAUGAGUUUGAAAUCUCUCAUAAACCUUUAACUCACGAUGAAGUUUAUCAAUGAAAAGAACACCUUACUAAUAUCUUUGGAAAGAAUAAAGACGGUCCCAUUGAUAAAAAUAUUUGGAAAAAGAGAUAAGUGUUCUUUGAUCUUCCAUAUUGGUUUAUCCUUGAUGUAAGACAUUGUCUUGAUGUGAUGUAUGUGGAGAAAAAUGUGUGUGAUGGUUUGAUAUGAACACUUCUAAACAUUCUAGGCAAGAUUAAAGAUGAUAAUAAUUACUGUUUAGAUAUAGUGGAGAUGGGUAUCCGAUAACAAUUGGGUUAAAAGAUAGAUGAAAAAGAUCUUAUUUGCGUCUGACAUGUCACACUCUAUCUAAAAAGGAAAAGAAAAGUUUUUGCGAGUGUUUGUAUAGUAUUAAAGUUCCCCAAGAUUAUUCUUCAAACAUCAAGAAACUUGUAUUAAUGAAAGAUCUCAAGUUAAUUGGCUUAAAAUUUCAUGAUUGUCAUGUCUUGAUGCACCAAUUUCUACUAAUGGCUAUUUGUAGCAUUCUUCCAAAAAAUGUAAGAGUACCUAUAACUAGAUUGUGCUUACUCUUCAAUGUUAUAUGUAAUAAAGUUCUUGAUUUUAAAAACUUAGAUGAAUUAGAAGAUGAGGUUGCAAUAAUAUUAUGUCAAUUGGACAUGUAUAUUCCUCCAUCAUUUUUUGACAUUAUGGUUCACUUACUUGUUCAUCUAGUCAGAGAAAUCAGAUUUUAUGGUCCGGUUUAUUUAAGGAGGAUGUAUCAUAUAGAGCAUUACAUGAAUAUAUUUAUAAGAAAUAUAAAGAAUCAAAAUUGACUGGAAGCUUCGAUCGUUGAAAGGUACAUCACAAAAGAAGGUCUUGAGUUUUGUUCAGACUAUUUCUCGAAAACAAAGUUUAUUAGAAUUCCAAAGUCUCGUCAUGCUGACAGAUUUGAAGGUAUAGGUACUCAAGGCUUAAAUGUUAAGUAAAUGGAUCGUGAUAUAGUUCUUGAAGCGCAUAUAUAUAUAUAUAUAUAUAUAUAUAUAUAUNUAUAUAUAUAUUGAAUAAUCUUAGUGUAGUUGAACAUCACAUAACUACUCCCAAAACAGUUAUAAAGAAACAAUAUCCCCGAAUGAAUGGCAAAUGGUUGUUGACAUAACAUAACAAGGAAUUCAUACAUUGGUUUAAUAAGAGGAUUUCUAAUGAUGAUGGUGUAUCUGAGACAAUUAAAUGAUUAUCGUUUACACCAAAUAUACUGUGAUAACUUGGAAGGUAUACGCCAUUUCCAAUUAUUCCUUUUAUACAAAAGCAGAAGAUAAUCGUAAUACAAUGUAAAAUAGUGGGGUUAUGGUUAGGCCGAAUCCAUGUAUUUCUUUAGUUCAAAAGAUGAGAAUCAUAUUUUGGAAACCACCAUAUUUUAUGGUAUCAUUGUGGAGAUUUUGGAGAUUGGUUAUGUUAUUUUCAAAGUAGCUUUAUUUAAAUGCAAGUGGGUUCUCAGUAACAAUGGUGUAAAAAUAGAUGAGUUAGGAUUCACACGGUCUGACCUUGAGAAGGAAACUUAUAACAUUGAACCAUUUAUCAUGGUUACUCAAGCAAAACAAGUUUUUUACGUGACAGACCCUGUAGACUUAUCAAGGAGAUUGUCGGUUGUUCUCAAAGAAAAACACAUUCCUCAGAGUGAUGAUGAAAGUUUUGAUUUCCUUCCACUCCUUCUUAUGCAACACAAAUGCCUACUUCGUAUGACGAAAUUGAUAGAGAUUAUGUACAUAUUAUUCGUAAUUAUCCUCAAGAAGGCAUAUGGGAAAAUUAACAAUUAACAAUUUUAUAUUUUUCAUUCAUAAUUUAUUAUAUGUUAUAAUUUCUAAUGAUGUUAUUUUCUAACAACUAUUAUUAUUUUCUAAUUCAAUUAAUACACAAUUUAUCAACAAGUAUAACUAGGGGAUUCAAAAUUUCUCAACUUAUUUUCGUAACAAAACAUUGUUGAAAACCGCCAUUCGUUAAUAAUUUUAAAUCGUAUUAUUAAUACCUUGUUAAAUUUACAAUCCCUUUGUAGAAAAAUUAUUUUAUUAAUUCGACGAGACAAUUACACUUGCUAGAAUUUUCAUCAGUAUGUUAUAAAUGUUUGUGUUAUUGUUGAUGUUUUUGUUGAGGUAUGUUUCAAUGUUUGUGUAAUUAUUCAUGCUAUACCUUAUAUAUUGCAACAUUCAUUAUGUUCAAUCAACAUGUCAUAGAUGAUGAGUUAUUAUAUUGUAUGUGGUUUGACUAUUUUUCUUACCCUUUACUGAAUAUAUAACCUUUCGAAUUGAAUUAGAAAAAUAUAAUAUGAGAUGUUAUGUUAUAUUUGAAAACAAGUUGCACUUAUCAAUGUUUUAUGAGCUUUUUGCACCAUAUUAUUUGUAUCUUACUCUUUAAUGGUUAGAACUUCGUUCAAUGCAUCUAUAGUUCUUCUGAUGUCACUUCCUUCACGUUUUAUUUUGUCUUCAAAGCAAAUAAUAUUUUGGAAAAUGAAAAAGAGGUGAAGGAAGUAUUAGUAGAUGAAAUAGAAACAUUGGAACAAAUUCAAAUUAUUAAAGAGAAAAAUGCGGAUAAUGACUUGUAUAAAGGUUGUACAACAUUGAUUAGUGUAACUUGUUUUUCUAUAAUAAAAUUUAAUUUGUCAUAUUAUUGAACUAAGAAUUCCAUAUAAAUUAUGAUAAACUCAAGUAAGUGUGUCACUAUAGUUGAGAUCUAGAAUCUUAGUAAAACGUUGUAAACUAAGUUUUUCUAGAACCGUGGUGAUAUGUAUUCAAAUCUACAAAAAUCCAGGGAUUGAGUAUCGAACCCCUUACCUCAACCUUUUACUAGGGUUGUUAUAUACAUCUGUAGUGGUAUGUUAAGCGUUUAUGUGUUUUUACCACGACUAAUAAUUCGUAUUGAUAAAGAGAGCACAUACAACCAUACCCUUCUUUACUACGGACCACCGUUGGUGGCGGAAUCCUUCUCACAACCGUGAUACAAAAAAUACUAUUUACAGUAAUGACCAUACCUGCCAGAUAGAAAGUCAACCCAUAUAUAUUUCAUACAACUUUUCUUACAGAGAUACAUGUUAUUUACCUGAGGACAUACUUGCGACUUUUACUUUAGAAUUUACCUGCUGAUUUAUCUAUGAGUUUAUUAGCAAUAUUUCUUGCAAAUUUACUUGAGAAUCUACCUGCAAAAAUACUUACCUAAAAAGAUUUUAGUUGAAGUUAAAGAUUCAUAAGAAGUUUCCUAGUAAAGCUAUUUUCUACAUAUUUUUUAUUCAAAUCCGUAGAAACAUUGCAGGAAAUUCUUGGAAUGUAAAUUAAAGACAUGGAGAUAUCUUUGAAAUUGUGUGAAAAGAGGACAAUUUAAAAAUCAUUAUUUGCUGCUUUAUUUAAUUUGGUUACAAUAAUCUUACCUUAAUAUACAAAAGCAUAACUACAAUCUGAUGGCAACAUAAUAACUAAAUGGGAAUAUGGUCUCUUAUGGGAGUGAUCACUUUAGCACAUCUACAUCGUCUACCCACACACUUCGACAUAUAUGGCCUUUUGUACAAAUUUGGUGGACAAUCAGAAUCUCUGAAACAUCUAUUAAUACCUAGAAUGAAAAAUGAGAAUAAAAUAAUUUAAAUAAUAUGCUUUAAAUGUUUAUACAAAGUAACGAAUGAAUUUGUAAAGAAUAAAAAAUGGAUUACUUGCAAUAGUCGAUGGCACAAGAAAUAUAAAAGUGAAGAAAAUCAUUACAUAAAUAAACUUGACAAUUUUAGUCAUAGUUCCCCUUUGCAAUCAAGAAAUAGUUUUAUCAAUUUAUAUUUGUUAUGGUUUCACCUCUCCUCACACCAAUUAAAUAUUUUUUGACCAUUAUGUAAUUGUAAGAAAUCCUUUUUAAAAUUAGAAUAAUUAUUAAAUAAAUUCUUAAGUAUAUCAAUGUGUAGUAUUUGUCGUUUUAGCACACUUAGUAAGCCUUUU
RNAcentral lists this long non-coding RNA (20925 nucleotides) under Lathyrus oleraceus (garden pea). RNAcentral describes it as "Pisum sativum (pea) long non-coding RNA (PSAT_LNC020359)". Lineage: Eukaryota; Viridiplantae; Streptophyta; Magnoliopsida; Fabales; Fabaceae. The record is from RNAcentral.